Thamnophis elegans (Western terrestrial garter snake) is the source of this 2667-nucleotide long non-coding RNA. RefSeq lists it as uncharacterized. The record is from RefSeq and is a predicted model, not a curated record. The transcript has 3 exons. Lineage: Eukaryota; Metazoa; Chordata; Lepidosauria; Squamata; Natricidae.
GCUGCCGUGGAUGGAGACGGCUCCGCGAACGGAAUUAGAAAGGGAGGCGCGACUGCUUGUUCAAAUCCAGACCCCCCGUUUUUUCAGGGGUGUGGUCCUAAUUAUUUAUCUUAAAAAGUCACAGCAGAAAAUCGGUUUGAGUUGACAGUGUUUUUUUGAGAGGGAAACAAGGUGAAAAUCACGGAUUUAAAGCGUGCAGAAUCCUGUCUUUGCAGUAGGGAGAUACAAUAGGAUUACUUCAGGAAUAUGCAAAUCAUCUCAAUAAGUCAGAUCACAGGCUGCUGGCUGUGGUUGAUGAGACAAUUCUGCUCACUUCGCAGGAUAGAGAAUGCAAAUUAUCCAAGGUACUAGAUUGAAGAUGUGACGGAUUCAUGAUGGAAGAUGUGAAUAAUACGAUUUAAUGACUCAAUGUCUAUCAAAGAUAGCUAUUGAAACAGCGAAUACUGGUUUGUCAUUAUCAGUUACUUCUGACUCUUCGUGACUUGUGAUUUCAACUAGUAAGAGAUGAUUUGUUCAUCUUGUGUAACAAGAUAUUCUUAGACAUUUUCUUUAGUAUCACAAUUCAAAAGCAUAUUUUUUUUCUUUGUCUGCCUUUUCUGAUAGACUAGCUUUCAUGUUAAUGGGAAGAUUCUUGUUGGCAGUGUGUUGCCUCUGUACUUUACUACUGGCUUUUUGAGGGAGAAAAUAAUUAUUUUGAAAUCUUUAUUGUCUCAUUUGCUGUUUUUCUAUAUUCACAUAUUUAAACACUAUAAAUUAUUUUAAAAAAAUAUGUAAACAUUUAGCAAAACAACAAAAAACUAUUUUCAACUGAUGACAGUUUCAAGACUGGAAUCUCAUGAAACACUUUUAAUCAAUUUUUCACUUAUCAACAAGUUUAAUUAAUUCAUUUUUGUUUAUAGACUUAUGUAUGUGUAGAUAAUCCUUAUUAUACAUUUUUCAGAGAUGAUGCCAUUUCCCAAAAUAGUGUCUUGGGUAAUCUUAAAAAAUAAUUAUGUAUUCUGGCAUAAUCCAUUGGUUUGCCUUUGGUUUUGCACAUCAGGUUAAAUUGAUAUUAGGACUCCACAUGCUUUAAAAAUUAUUCAAAAGAAGCAUGUUCAAAUACUCAAAAGUUAUAGCACUAUCUUUUUGAAGCAGCUAUGUCAUUUUCAAGCUUCUCUGAGAACCUGAAAAAACCUCUGCUUUUAAUGGGCCAGCUCAUUAAAAUAAUUGCAUUUUGUUAAAGUGACCAAAUAUUUUUGCAAGCAUAUGAAGCCACCCCAAGAGUCUGUUUGCAUCCCCCCCAUCCACGUUUGCAAGCAUUCUUCCAAAUCAUUUUCAAAGCACACAUAGCAUUUAUGGAUAACCUCUGGAAAUUGCUACCAGAAAUUCCCCUUAGCAUAAUUAACAAAUUAAUUGACUUCAGUUGUUCAGUCUGGAUUGGGAUACUUUACAAAAGUAGGUAUCAUAUAUGUAUUGAUAUCAUACUGAGAUAUGAGCCUAAUAAUUUAUAAAGACCAGAAUCCAUAUUUGCUAUUUUGCCUAGAUGCUUAUUAAAUCUGUGACUGAAUUUACACAGUACACAGAAUCAUUAUGUCAUUUAUUUGAUUUUGAUUUACUGUGUUUUCAAUUAUUGUUUAUAAGCCAUGGUUUAUAGCUUAGCAUUUUGUGUGUAAACCCAGGCAGCUAUGAUUUAUUCAAUAAAUCAAACUAUGAUUUAUUCAAUAAACCAUUGUUUAGAAAACUACAUGGUAACUCUAAAUUUAUAUUCUAGACUAAUGUCAAUCUUAUAUGAAUUAGUUGGAAGGUCUCCCCAAAAUUUAGUUAUAUACUAGUUUUCUACUAAAGUAUUAAAAUUAUUAAUGCUAAAACUUAUGUAUUUAUAUAUUUAAAUUUUAAAUUUUAAUAUUGUUGUUUUAUCUUACUGUAAGCUGCUCUGGGUCACUUGAUAGCAGCAUGGAUGGCAUAUAAAUAAUAAAAUAAAAUAAUUGAUGCUUCUGAGUGCCAAGCCCAACCCCCAUAUCAUAUUUUGGAAUGAUAUAUGAACUUAUUACUUAUCUUUCUUCUACCUUUGGCAACAUCAUGUAUUUUCGAUAACAGGACCAAACUUGCAAGAUUCUAAAUAUGAUUUCAGAUUUGUAUAACACCUAGCAUUUCCUUUAAUAAAAUAAAGAUUUUAGACAAUAUAUGUAUUAAAGAAACAGCAAAAUAUUGAUACAGUGAAAUAUUAAAUACGUAGUACUGUAUUAGAUUUCAACAGCUACUAUGUAUUAUCUAUUGUCAUUUAUUGCUCUGCUUUAUUACUCUACUUUCUACUUUCUGAAGGGUCAUACAUAUCCUAAUAGUCUGCUCAUUUAAUAAGAGAAAAGUGCAGAAGAAGCCUCAAGGACAAUAAUUAAUUCUGACAGUUCAGUUUUUGUUGUUGUUGUUCAGGGAUGACACACUAUCUUUCUCAGUGGUUGCCUCCCUUUCUUUUACACAUCUAAGGCUUAAAUAUAUUCAUAAACCUAUGCCUACACAAGACUAACCACUUGCAGGUGAAUACUUAAUAAGAUUAUGCUUUUGCACACAAAUGCUUUUGUGGCAAAACUAUUCCUGAAAGAUUGAGACUCAGUAAAUCUCCUAGGAGAAUCUGUGGCAGGAAUACUGAUAUCUGGAAAUGGUAAAGGGGGAUUAUAUUUCUGUAUGUUU